UGCNCAACUAAGGAGAAACUGCAAUAUAUAUUAAUAGAAAAUAAUAGCGCUUAUGAAAUAUUGUCCUCAAUCAAAAUUAACACCAAAAAACAUAUUUUUUUUUCCAAUUUGUAAAAGAUUAAGAACCAAUGGGUUCAUACAGUUCUUUCCCAUCGACACAACAGUUUUAACUCCAACCAAAAUAUUUACAAGACUUUCACACACUACAAAGUGGCAGACAGAAUUUUUUUUAUAAAAAAAAGCACAGGAAAAUGAUCAGAAAUUUUAAAAUUUUAACCUAAAAUAUAACAUUACAUGUUUUUGGACCACAGAAAUUUGAUAAAAAUAGAAACAAAUUAAAAAGAAGAUAGGAAAAUGAAACAGUCAACACAAAAAAUGAUCCCAAUAAUCCAAUCGGAACGUGAUAACAAGACAAUACAGAUCUAAAUAACUAAUACACUUUACAAGUAAAAUCCGAAGUAAAUGCACGCACAUAUUCAACAUACACAUCUAUGUAUUUAUGAACAGAUAUUCACAGUCUAAUAUAUAUUUAUAGGAGAGGUAGAGUAAAUACCAUCCGUGCAGGCGUUUAUGGAGGUUGAUUGUAUAUUCCCUUGCGACGACUUCCUCUUUCCUCGCCUUGCUGCCCUUUUCCACCAUUUUUGUAGCCGCUGUAACACUGAUGUUUUUUUCCCGGCGCUUCGAGCCGCUGCUAGAGAAACCCUAGUCGCUUUGAAGGAACAUAUAUAGCGGGUGCUUCGUAAUUGGCAAAGGAGCCCACAGUUUGGGCCUAGGUCCGGCCCAGGUAAAUGAUUGGGUAUAGUACGGGUCAGAGACGCCUAAAAUCGUAAAUAUUUUUAACCUUUUAUCUUUACCAUUUAAAAAUGAAUAAUGUUAUUUAAAUUCAUUGAGG
RNAcentral lists this long non-coding RNA (892 nucleotides) under Olea europaea subsp. europaea. The record is from RNAcentral. Lineage: Eukaryota; Viridiplantae; Streptophyta; Magnoliopsida; Lamiales; Oleaceae.